GGAAGUCUUUUCAGAAUAAGAGCUUUUGGAUGCCAAGGGAUGCAGAGUGUCUAACUGACGGAGACGUAAAUUAUGAUGCUUCGUCAAGAGUUAAACCAAAGCGUUCUCACCAAUGGUUUAUGGAUGCGUUUGAACCUGAGCAGUUCUGCAACAAGAAGCAAGCAGUAGAAGUAGAUGGCAGCAGACCAAUGUCAGGGACUUCAAAUGCAAACAUUUCUAUGCGGCAAAACAAUUCAAGUUUCCAAUCAGUCUCGGAGCAGUUUACGGAUCACCUCUUUGGAUCUGAAACUGCAAGGGCCUUCAACCUGGUUGAUAGAAGCAUUCCAGCUGUUGGUACGGGAAAUUUAAAUCUGGAAAUAAAGGGUUUUGAGGAUCAAUUUGGAAGCGAUUCCUCGGUUGGUUUAUCUAUGUGGCAUACAAUCGAACAUCCCUCGUCGUGUCUCAGUUAUGAUGGGAUUAGAUAAGUAAAAGUCAAUGAAGUCAGAGACUCUGACAAUGAUAAGCCAAUAUCAAUGGGAUCCUGCUAUAGUAGGGGAGAUAGCAGUAGUAUUUCAAUCAGGGCUGGAUAUAAUAAGAUCGAUAACAAUAUUACGAUGCCCUCGACAUAUAAUGGUGGAAAUGAGAAUACCAUUUCGAUGGGCCCUACCUAUAACAAGGCAGAUGACAAUUUUAUUUUAAUGGGUCAAACGUUCGACAAAGGAGAUAGCAGUUUCAUGCAUCUGGGUCAGGAUUAUGACAAUGGAGAUGCUAAUGUUGUAGCGAUGAGUCAGCCUUUUGACAAGAGGAAUGGAGGUUUCAUACAAAUGGGUGAUCAAUAUGAGAAGGGAAAUGGGAGGGUCCUUUUUACAACAAGGAGCCUGAGAAUUACAUUCCGAUCUGUUCUGCCUUUUGACAAAACCAAUUAAGGUUUCAUUUCAAUUGGUCCCUCUUAUGGGAAGGGGGAUGAUGACAUAUGGGUCCAAUUUCUGACAAGGCAGGUACAAGCGUUGUAUUGAGGAGUGCCACCACCUAUAACAAAGGAAAUUCUAGCAUUCUAUCAAUGGGACAGAACUACAACAAGGGUGGGAGCAGUACUAUAUCUUUUGGAGGUUUGAGGAUGAAGCCGGAACAAAUCCCUAUGGUGGAAUCAUUAGUGGCUAUGGCUUGUUGACUAGUCAAGCCUCGUCUCUAACUUUGAACCCGCUAGGAAUGGAUGAUUCAGUUGAGCAUAAUACUGGUUUUGUUGCAAGUGGUGCUCCUGCAGUGGCUUCUAAAAGUAAUGCCACCCCGAAGAUUAAGGAGCCAAAGCUACCACCAAGAAUGUUCCUCCUAACAACUUUCCUUCAAAUGUCAAAAGCUUGUUAUCGAAUGGUAUGUUUGAUGGAGUUCCAGUGAAGUAUGUGUCCUGAUCACGGGAGAAAAAUUUCAAAGGAAUCAUAAAAGGGAAUUGUCAUCUGUGUGGCUGCAACGAUUACAAGUUCUCCAAGGCUCUUAAUGCUUAUGAACUGGAGCGUCAUGCUGGUUGUAAGACCAAGCACCCGAAUAAUCACAUUUACUUCGAGAAUGGAAAGACGUCUAUGCGGUGGCCCAAGAGCUGAAGAGUACCCCUCAGGAGAUGCUGUUCGAAGUUAUUCAAAAUGUGACUGGAUACCCCUUAAAUCAGACCAACUUCUGUAUUUGGAAAGCAUCAUUUCAAGUUGCAACCCGCGAACUCCAGCUCAUCUAUGGGAAGGAAGAAAUGAUCAUGCCAUCUUGAUUUGUGAACGUUGCCUUCUAUAAAUUUGCAAUCAUUGAAUAUGUGGUGUUCACCGAUAUGGUGAACUUGUAAAUUUGGCAUGGAAAUUUUGGGGUACAAUGGUGAGACAGAGUAUUUAAUUAGCUUUGAAUCUUUUUCUGUAGAGACCUUAAUUUUGUAGUAGUGUUUUAAUUUCCGGACCCAAUUUUCUCGA
Molecule: long non-coding RNA, 1928 nt
Organism: Rhododendron vialii
Lineage: Eukaryota; Viridiplantae; Streptophyta; Magnoliopsida; Ericales; Ericaceae
Exons: 4
Source: RefSeq, a predicted model, not a curated record